AACGAACGCUGGCGGCAUGCCUAACACAUGCAAGUCGAACGAGACCUUCGGGUCUAGUGGCGCACGGGUGCGUAACGCGUGGGAACCUGCCCUUAGGUUCGGAAUAACUCCCCGAAAGGGGUGCUAAUACCGGAUAAUGUCUUCGGACCAAAGAUUUAUCGCCUUUGGAUGGGCCCGCGUUGGAUUAGCUAGUUGGUAGGGUAAAAGCCUACCAAGGCGACGAUCCAUAGCUGGUCUGAGAGGAUGAUCAGCCACACUGGGACUGAGACACGGCCCAGACUACUACGGGAGGCAGCAGUGGGGAAUAUUGGACAAUGGGCGAAAGCCUGAUCCAGCAAUGCCGCGUGAGUGAUGAAGGCCUUAGGGUUGUAAAGCUCUUUUACCCGGGAUGAUAAUGACAGUACCGGGAGAAUAAGCACCGGCUAACUCCGUG
This 433-nucleotide ribosomal RNA is filed under the name uncultured bacterium. Its description in RNAcentral is "partial 16S ribosomal RNA". It matches the Rfam family "Bacterial small subunit ribosomal RNA", at positions 29 to 507 of the family's 1533-position model. The record is from RNAcentral.